This 460-nucleotide ribosomal RNA is filed under the name uncultured bacterium. Its description in RNAcentral is "partial 16S ribosomal RNA". It matches the Rfam family "Bacterial small subunit ribosomal RNA", at positions 338 to 795 of the family's 1533-position model. The record is from RNAcentral.
CCUACGGGUGGCAGCAGUGAGGAAUAUUGGUCAAUGGACGAGAGUCUGAACCAGCCAAGUAGCGUGAAGGAUGACUGCCCUAUGGGUUGUAAACUUCUUUUAUAAAGGAAUAAAACGAGGCACGUGUGCCUUUUUGCAUGUACUUUAUGAAUAAGGAUCGGCUAACUCCGUGCCAGCAGCCGCGGUAAUACGGAGGAUCCGAGCGUUAUCCGGAUUUCUUGGGUUUAAAGGGAGCGUAGAUGGGUUGUUAAGUCAGUUGUGAAAUUUUGCGGCUCAACCGUAAAAUUGCAAUUGAUACUGGCAGUCUUGAGUACAGUUGAGGUAGGCGGAAUUCGUGGUGUAGCGGUGAAAUGCUUAGAUAUCACGAAGAACCCCGAUUGCGAAGGCAGCUUACUAAACUGUGACUGACAUUGAUGCUCGAAAGUGUGGGUAUCAAACAGGAUUAGAUACCCUAGUAGUC